UUUAUGGAGAGUUUGAUCCUGGCUCAGGAUGAACGCUGGCGGCGUGCCUAAUACAUGCAAGUCGAGCGAACGGAUGAGAAGCUUGCUUCUCUGAUGUUAGCGGCGGACGGGUGAGUAACACGUGGAUAACCUACCUAUAAGACUGGGAUAACUCCGGGAAACCGGAGCUAAUACCGGAUAAUAUUUUGA
This 189-nucleotide ribosomal RNA is filed under the name Staphylococcus aureus. RNAcentral's name for it is "partial 16S ribosomal RNA". It matches the Rfam family "Bacterial small subunit ribosomal RNA", at positions 1 to 184 of the family's 1533-position model. The record is from RNAcentral. Lineage: Bacteria; Bacillati; Bacillota; Bacilli; Caryophanales; Staphylococcaceae.